CCGAGUUUACAACUCCCAAACCCCUGUGAACAUACCUCUUGUUGCCUCGGCGGAUCAGCCCGCUCCCGGUAAAACGGGACGGCCCGCCAGAGGACCCCUAAACUCUGUUUCUAUAUGUAACUUCUGAGUAAAACCAUAAAUAAAUCA
Molecule: unclassified non-coding RNA, 147 nt
Filed under: soil metagenome
Description: partial internal transcribed spacer 1
Source: RNAcentral